Molecule: ribosomal RNA, 87 nt
Filed under: Bacillus sp. EB106-08-02-XG196
Lineage: Bacteria; Bacillati; Bacillota; Bacilli; Caryophanales; Bacillaceae
Source: RNAcentral
CGUUCCCAUACCGAACACGGAAGUUAAGCUUCUCAGCGCCGAUGGUAGUUGGGACUUUGUCCCUGUGAGAGUAGGACAUUGCCAGGC